CGACAAAACAAGAUUUGUGUUUUUGAAGCUAUCAUGUGAAAUAUUACAAUGGUUGAUCUCCAGCCAGUAGUAAAGAGUUGUGGCUAUAACGUCUGCAAAGAGAGUUCUUUCACGAAUAUUGGGUUUAACCAGAUGAUUUUGAAUAAAGUUGUGGAGCGGCAAGCUUAUGGGCUGUUGUCGUGUCACGCUUUUUCCGAAAAAUGUCGGUCAAGAGUAUCUGCGGAUUUUGAAAUCUUUUUAGAUGCCGUAAAGUGAUUUUUAUGCCAGAGCAUCUUUUGACAUAAGGUAUUAAUUUUUUUUUAGUUUUGCUUAAUUUAUUUGUUUGGGAAAAAAACUAAUUUGCUCGUAUAGAAUGAAUUGUUUUUGAGAAUAACGUCAUCAAACUCUACAUGUUAGAUAUUUUUAAGGGUAAACGUGCUUAGAAAUCACUAUUUUCAUAACGUUUCUUCAAAAAUUCUUACCCAUCCAGCACCCCUGUUCAAUCCCUAUUCCGUACAACAAAUCAGCAAAAAUACUUGUUUGCUAUCAUUAUUAUUGUAUUGGUGCUGGUCGGUCAACUGAUGUUGUGGGCUUCUUUUAUUUUGUUGCUGACUUAAGGUUUAGGAAUUAUUUUUUGAUGGUAAUUAAUGAUUGCGAACUAGUUUUUAUGCUGAAUUACAUUUACUUUAGAUUUUUUUUUAUUUUUGAAUUAUUUCGUUUCUGAGAACAACGUCAUCAAACUGCAGAAUUACAGGUGUGUAGUUAUGUAAGGUUAGGUUAUGGUUAUGUUAGGUUAUGGUUAUGUUAGGUUACGUUUAAAUCUUUUUCAAUGAAAAUUGUAGAAUUUUUUAAAAUUGCAGAAUCACAGGUGUGCAGUUAUAUAAGGUUUGGUUAUGGUUAUGUUAGGUUAUGGUUAUGUUAGGUUAUGGUUAGUUUAGGUUAUCUUUUUCAAUGAAAAUUGUAGAAUUUUUUAAAAUUGCAGAAUCACAGGUGUGCAGUUAUAUAAGGUUUGGUUAUGGUUA
Molecule: long non-coding RNA, 1001 nt
Organism: Harmonia axyridis
Lineage: Eukaryota; Metazoa; Arthropoda; Insecta; Coleoptera; Coccinellidae
Exons: 3
Source: RefSeq, a predicted model, not a curated record